RNAcentral lists this ribosomal RNA (292 nucleotides) under uncultured bacterium. RNAcentral describes it as "partial 16S ribosomal RNA". It matches the Rfam family "Bacterial small subunit ribosomal RNA", at positions 505 to 796 of the family's 1533-position model. The record is from RNAcentral.
GUGUCAGCCGCCGCGGUAAUACGAAGGGAGCAAGCGUUGUUCGGAAUUACUGGGCGUAAAGGGCGUGUAGGCGGUUUGGUCAGUCAGAUGUGAAAGGCCUGGGCUUAACCCAGGAAGUGCAUUUGAAACUGCCAGACUAGAGUACGAGAGGGGGUAGUGGAAUUACGAGUGUAGAGGUGAAAUUCGUAGAUAUUCGUAAGAACAUCGGUGGCGAAGGCGUCUACCUGGCUCGAUACUGACGCUAAGGCGCGAAAGCGUGGGGAGCAAACAGGAUUAGAUACCCUCGUAGUCC